RNAcentral lists this ribosomal RNA (501 nucleotides) under uncultured bacterium. RNAcentral describes it as "partial 16S ribosomal RNA". It matches the Rfam family "Bacterial small subunit ribosomal RNA", at positions 30 to 523 of the family's 1533-position model. The record is from RNAcentral.
AUUGAACGCUGGCGGCAGGCUUAACACAUGCAAGUCGAGCGGGGGAAGGUAGCUUGCUACCGGACCUAGCGGCGGACGGGUGAGUAAUGCUUAGGAAUCUGCCUAUUAGUGGGGGACAACAUCUCGAAAGGGAUGCUAAUACCGCAUACGUCCUACGGGAGAAAGCAGGGGAUCUUCGGACCUUGCGCUAAUAGAUGAGCCUAAGUCGGAUUAGCUAGUUGGUGGGGUAAAGGCCUACCAAGGCGACGAUCUGUAGCGGGUCUGAGAGGAUGAUCCGCCACGCUGGGACUGAGACACGGCCCAGACUCCUACGGGAGGCAGCAGUGGGGAAUAUUGGAAAAGGGGAGGAACCCUGAUCCAGCCAUGCCGCGUGUGUGAAGAAGGCCUUAUGGUUGUAAAGCACUUUAAUCGAGGAGGAGGCUACUUUAGUUAAUACCUAGAGAUAGUGGACGUUACUCGCAGAAUAAGCACCGGCUAACUCUGUGCCAGCCGCCGCAGUAA